GCAAGUCGAGGGGUAACGGAAGUAGCUUGCUACUAGACGACGACCGGCGCACGGGUGAGUAACGCGUAUGUAAUCUGCCUUGUACAGAGGGAUAGCCCAGAGAAAUUUGGAUUAAUACCUCAUAGUAUUACUGAAUCGCAUGAUUUGGUAAUUAAAGCUCCGGCGGUACAAGAUGAACAUGCGUGACAUUAGCUAGUUGGUAAGGUAACGGCUUACCAAGACGAUGAUGCUUAGGGGUUCUGAGAGGACAAUC
Molecule: ribosomal RNA, 253 nt
Filed under: uncultured bacterium
Lineage: Bacteria
Description: partial 16S ribosomal RNA
Rfam family: Bacterial small subunit ribosomal RNA
Source: RNAcentral